CAGAAAUGAGGAUGAGGAUGGGGAUGCUGAAUCUAGUAAUGGACUCUGCUCAUUGAUGAGAUUUGCUUAUUUAGAACUGGACAAGGGCCAGCUAGCAAGCUUGCUAGCCAUUGUGGCUAUGGUAGCAAACAAAACAGCAGCAUCCCUAUGGAAGUACAACUCCACUCCCUGAUGUGGGAGAGUGAAGAAGAAGGAGAUGAUCUGUUCCAUAAACUGAGAGAGGAGAGAAAUUAUCAUGAGAUAGUGAUGAGAGAAAAAUCUAGGGCUUUUCACAAUCUGCCCUUGCUCAAGAUGAUGACAGCUUGAGAAGAUUUUGUUCCCUUUCUUUUUUGAUGGACGCCCUCCCCCCACUCCCUCCCUAUCCCAGUGAAUCAGACCACCUGACAGC
RNAcentral lists this long non-coding RNA (388 nucleotides) under Chinchilla lanigera (long-tailed chinchilla). RNAcentral describes it as "lncRNA (ENSCLAG00000028592.1)". Lineage: Eukaryota; Metazoa; Chordata; Mammalia; Rodentia; Chinchillidae. The record is from RNAcentral.